This 253-nucleotide ribosomal RNA is filed under the name uncultured bacterium. RNAcentral's name for it is "partial 16S ribosomal RNA". It matches the Rfam family "Bacterial small subunit ribosomal RNA", at positions 524 to 776 of the family's 1533-position model. The record is from RNAcentral.
UACGGAGGAUGCGAGCGUUGUCCGGAAUCAUUGGGCGUAAAGGGCGCGUAGGUGGCCUGCUAAGCGUGCGGUGAAAGCUCGGGGCUCAACCCCGAGUCGGCCGUGCGAACUGGUGGGCUUGAGCACUGUAGAGGCAGGCGGAAUUCCGGGUGUAGCGGUGGAAUGCGUAGAGAUCCGGAAGAACACCGGUGGCGAAGGCGGCCUGCUGGGCAGUAGCUGACACUGAGGCGCGACAGCGUGGGGAGCAAACAGG